GGCAAUGCCUCCCAGGCUUGGGAGCUGGGAAAAGGCCCCAGGAGCUAGGGCAUCCUGAUUGUUCUUUCAAAGAAAUCCCUCUUGUUCUUAGUCAACAUGCUGGAUACCAGCUAAAAAAUGCAAAAUGAUCUUCAGGCAGGGAUGGCACAGGACCCUUGCUGAGCUGUGAAGCCUGGCUGUGAGGAUUCCUGCAUGGAAACAUCAACAUGUUGCCAGAUUGGUAUACGACUCAACACCACACUGACAUGCUGCUCCCAAACAGUGCCUUUGAAUCAAGACCCAGUCAUCGUAUUCGAAGAAAAAGGAAAUAUCCCUGACCAUGUUGGGACUUAACACUGCUUCACAGAGAUUGCAAAGAACCGCUUCUCUGGAGCUUGCAGGACGACUCUCAUGUUGUUAAAAGCUUCCCUUCCUUAUCUCACUUCCUAAUCGCCAAAGAGGGAUUUGAGAGCCUUCGACACUGGUUUUUCCUCUUCAAGGAUCUGCUAGUGCUGGACUAAUUAAUGGAAAGGGCCCGGAGAUGAGUUCCUUCAAAAAUUAUGGAAUGUUCUAAUCAGACGGCUAAAACAUCCUUGGGCAUUACAUAUGAAACCAACAUACAAAGACUGUAAAAGUUGAAGAGAAGAAGGCAGAUAAGCUAGAGACUUUAGGACCCACAGAACAACGUGGUGGCAAGUUCCCUGGGCUUUCUUUUUGCCUCAUAUACCCCAGACCUGAAGCUGAAGAAGACAGCACCCUGGAAUGGUCACUGGAUAUAGAUGAAAACGACAAUAAUAACAAGUUGCUGUUUCUAGCCAAAGUGAUGGCAGCACAUGAUGGAUGCAGCAGGGAGGCUCGGCUGGGGCUGCACACUCCAUGGAGCCAGUAGAAGCCCCAUCCCUUCUGAGUUGGGGCAGGAGCUCCUAGGGUACUGCUGCAGCUGCCCAAACCACAGGCUGCAGACCCAAACUGCAGCUGUAGCCACCCAAACUGUGGCUGUGAAUCCGAGCUUCUCUGUGCUCUUGGGGGGAACCGGUAGUGGGCGGGAUCUGCCCUCCUGGGUGCCCAACCCACGGCUGCAGACCUGGGCCUCCCAUUCCACAGAGUAUACAGGAGCUGGGGACAAGUGGAAGCCCUGCCCCUUCCGAGUUUGCAGAGCAGAAGCUCCCCGAGUGCUGCUGCAGCAGCCCUCCCAGGAGCAAGGCCUGGGCAUCUCUGCAGCCUGUGUCCUCAGGGCCCAGGAAGGGUUUCCCAAUCCCUGUAGGCUCAGAGGUGUCUGCUCCUGUUGUCUGGCCUCUCUCCUUUCCCUGUGCCAGCUCCAGUCUUGGAGCAGGGUUGGCAAUGUGCGCCAGGGGCCAUGAAUGGCAGCAGGAGUCAGCUAGAUCCCUGGGUGGAAAACAAUAGUCCAGGGUAAGGCCUCACCUUCAGGCCAGGGAGAGGCUGAAGGCUGGGGGCUUGACUGCCAGUCCACAGACCAGAAUAGGGAGUUGUAGUGCCUCCUGCUGCCUGCCCGUUGUCACCUGUGGAUCAAUCUGUAUGCACUUCCUCCCCUCUGAGGUCCAUAAAAGCCCCAGGUUCAGCCAGAGCAGGGCAGAGGACAGAGGACAGAGAGAUGACAGGAUGACCAGCCUGCAGAGAGGAGCUACCCUCUCCAGGGCCUCCUCUCUGCUGAGAGCUGAACACUUGACAGGACGACCUGCCUACAGAGAGGAGCUACCCACUGCAGGUCUCCUCUGAGCUGUUCUAACACUAAAUAAAGCUCCUCUUCAUCUUCUUCACCCUUCA
Molecule: long non-coding RNA, 1764 nt
Organism: Homo sapiens (human)
Lineage: Eukaryota; Metazoa; Chordata; Mammalia; Primates; Hominidae
Source: Ensembl